This 105-nucleotide small nuclear RNA is filed under the name Procavia capensis (Cape rock hyrax). Lineage: Eukaryota; Metazoa; Chordata; Mammalia; Hyracoidea; Procaviidae. The record is from RNAcentral.
UAGCUGGCUUCAUCAGCACAUAUACUGAAACUGGUACAAUACAGAGAAGAUUAGCAUGGCCUCUGCCAGAAUGCUCCUUAGAAGCAAGGUCGGCAAGACUUCAUC